This 501-nucleotide ribosomal RNA is filed under the name uncultured bacterium. RNAcentral's name for it is "partial 16S ribosomal RNA". It matches the Rfam family "Bacterial small subunit ribosomal RNA", at positions 29 to 523 of the family's 1533-position model. The record is from RNAcentral.
AUUGAACGCUGGCGGCAUGCCUUACACAUGCAAGUCGAACGGCAGCACGGGUGCUUGCACCUGGUGGCGAGUGGCGAACGGGUGAGUAAUACAUCGGCACGUACCUUAUCGUGGGGGAUAACGCAGCGAAAGCUGUGCUAAUACCGCAUACGCCCUGAGGGGGAAAGCGGGGGAUCGCAAGACCUCGCGCGAUUAGAGCGGCCGAUGCCUGAUUAGCUAGUUGGUGGGGUAAAAGCCCACCAAGGCGUCGAUCAGUAGCUGGUCUGAGAGGACGAUCAGCCACACUGGGACUGAGACACGGCCCAGACUCCUACGGGAGGCAGCAGUGGGGAAUUUUGGACAAUGGGGGCAACCCUGAUCCAGCAAUGCCGCGUGAGUGAAGAAGGCCUUCGGGUUGUAAAGCUCUUUUGUCAGGGAAGAAACACCGGCUCUAACACAGUCCGGGAAUGACGGUACCUGAAGAAUAAGCACCGGCUAACUACGUGCCAGCCGCCGCCGUAA